UUCAGAUUGAUGUUUUCCCUGUGUGGAAAGCAUGGGGUCUUGCUCUGUUACGGAUGGAGCGCUAUGCUCAAGCUCGAGUUAAAUUCAAGCAAGCCUUUCAAUUGAAGGGGGAAGACAUUCCUGAUGUUAUUCAGGAGAUAAUAAA
Non-coding RNA from Camelina sativa (false flax), 145 nucleotides. Lineage: Eukaryota; Viridiplantae; Streptophyta; Magnoliopsida; Brassicales; Brassicaceae. The record is from RefSeq and is a predicted model, not a curated record.